UACGAAGGGGGCUAGCGUUGCUCGGAAUCACUGGGCGUAAAGGGUGCGUAGGCGGGUCUUUUAAGUCAGGGGUGAAAUCCAUGGAGCUCAACUCCAGAACUGCCUUUGAUACUGAAGAUCUUGAGUUCGGGAGAGGUGAGUGGAACUGCGAGUGUAGAGGUGAAAUUCGUAGAUAUUCGGAAGAACACCAGUGGCGAAGGCGGCUCACUGGCCCGAUACUGACGCUGAGGCACGAAAGCGUGGGGAGCAAACAGG
RNAcentral lists this ribosomal RNA (255 nucleotides) under uncultured bacterium. Its description in RNAcentral is "partial 16S ribosomal RNA". It matches the Rfam family "Bacterial small subunit ribosomal RNA", at positions 524 to 776 of the family's 1533-position model. The record is from RNAcentral.